Molecule: long non-coding RNA, 929 nt
Filed under: Marmota monax (woodchuck)
Lineage: Eukaryota; Metazoa; Chordata; Mammalia; Rodentia; Sciuridae
Source: RNAcentral
GGGAGCUGGCAGGGGACAGGAGGCAGACACCGAGGGGGAGAUGCGCGAAGCACGAUCUCCCGGCUCCAAUACCCCCUAGAAGCUCCUUUGCACAAACCCACCAGGAUUUUGCUCUUCAUCCCCACGCCGGCUCUGGCCCAGUUACCGAAGCCGGGGUAGGAGGGAUGGCUGCUGCUUCUUGAAAAUCCCAACUCUCACCCUGACACCCCUCACUACGACCCAGGGGGAGAACUUUUUACUCGGAUUUCUCGGAUACUAAGCCGGGUAAAAGUGGGGGGCAAUGCGAACAACGAGGGACUCGCUCCGAAACCCGGAAGGCCCUCGCGGGGCACGGAGAUCGGACCAGACGGGGUGCUCCCCCGGUUUUCCGAUGUGUUGCAAAUCUAAGCUUCUUUCUUGCUUUUUUCUUUUUAUAACAUCCCCCUUUGCUCCCCCCUCCCCGCUUUGGCUUCAGGGUUGCAAAAGCAAAGAGCAAUAAAAAAAAAAAAAAAAAAAACCCGCGCACACACUCAGACACACACCAGUGGCGACAGGAGAGAGUUGGAAAGACGCAGGAGAAAAGCAGGAGGCAGCGGGAAUGGAGCAAUGGGAGCGGGAAGCAGGCAGGUUCCCUCGCAAAUUCCCCUCCGGCCCCAAACCGCCUCGCCGGCCCCGGCAGGGGAGCAAGAAGCCGGGCGAGCAGAUGGAGGAGUGGAGCUCGCUCUAGGCAGCGGGCUUGGCCGGAGAAUGGAGGAGCCGCCAAGCGACCGGCUGAUUGGAAGAGAAACGCAGAGCGAUGGAGGCGGGGGUAGGAGGACGAUUUCUCUGCGGGGACUGGCGGCGGCGUACACGCCCGGGUCGGGCGCUGCAGAGCUUGGCUGGCUUUCAACCCGCGCUCGCCGGCUCCAGCCCCGCGCGCCCCCACCCCCAGCCCUGCCGGCGGCUCCGCA